GAUGAAGAACGCAGCGAAAUGCGAUAAGUAAUGUGAAUUGCAGAAUUCAGUGAAUCAUCGAAUCUUUGAACGCACAUUGCGCCCGCCAGCAUUCUGGCGGGCAUGCCUGUUCGAGCGUCAUUUCAACCCUCGAGCCCCCCCGGGGGCCUCGGUGUUGGGGGAAGGCACACCAGCCGCCCCCGAAAUGCAGUGGCGACCCCGCCGCAGCCUCCCCUGCGUAGUAGCACACACCUCGCACCGGAGCGCGGAGGCGGUCACGCCGUAAAACGCCCAACUUUCUUAGAGUUGACCUCGGAUCAGGUAGGAAUACCCGCUGAACUUAAGCAUAUCAAUAAGCGGAGGA
This 343-nucleotide unclassified non-coding RNA is filed under the name soil metagenome. RNAcentral's name for it is "partial contains 5.8S ribosomal RNA, internal transcribed spacer 2, and large subunit ribosomal RNA". The stretch from base 1 to 120 matches the Rfam family "5.8S ribosomal RNA", at positions 35 to 154 of the family's 154-position model. The record is from RNAcentral.